UGGUUCUGGCAUCGAUGAAGAACGCAGCGAAAUGCGAUAAGUAAUGUGAAUUGCAGAAUUCAGUGAAUCAUCGAAUCUUUGAACGCACAUUGCGCCCGCCAGUACUCUGGCGGGCAUGCCUGUCCGAGCGUCAUUUCAACCCUCGACGCCCCCCCCGGGGGGCGCCGGUGUUGGGGGACGGCCCGCCGCCCAGAGCGGAGGGCCGCCCCCGAAAUGCAGUGGCGACCCCGCCGCAGCCUCCCCUGCGUAGUAGCUACAUACUGAAACCUCGCACCGGAGAGCGGCGCGGCUCUGCCGUCAAACCCCAACUCACGAAUGGUUGACCUCGGAUCAGGUAGGAAUACCCGCUGA
Molecule: unclassified non-coding RNA, 351 nt
Filed under: uncultured fungus
Lineage: Eukaryota; Fungi
Description: partial contains 5.8S ribosomal RNA and internal transcribed spacer 2
Rfam family: 5.8S ribosomal RNA (bases 1-133)
Source: RNAcentral